GUAAGAAAUGAUAUUUCUAUUUCAGAUGCUCUAGUUGGAUCUCUGAAGACAAUGUGGUGCUUUACAGAAAUGUUUGUUCGUAGUUACCACAGUAUGUUUUUGCUCUCAUUUCAUUGCGGUUGAUUCAUAGAAUCUCUGGCUGUUAAGGACCAGGUUUUCACUAUGCAGUGUAGCACAAUCUCUCAUUAAUACCAGUGAGAUGCACUGAAGCUUCAAAAAGCAUUCUGCAUUUGGCAGGGGUAGGACAACUUGGCAAAAUGAGUACUGAAGAAAUAGACUUUCAAAAAAGAUCUGUAGCACUCAGCGCUGUAGUUGCAUGUUAUGUGCUGUUCGUGUGGCUUACUGAAUCUUAACCGUAAACUUCAUUAAAUACAAUUCCCUACAGAGAAGAAUAAGUAUGCAUCUUACCUACAUACAUUAUAAUUUUGAGGCCAGCUGAGGAUUUAUGGGAGACAACUCCAGCUGGUUGGGAAGGUAAAGCAAAAUGAAGAGAGACAGAAGCAAAGUACUGCAUCACUAAUACAGUGGUGUCCUCUGAACAGAUCAAAAUGAGCUUGAAAAACAAAUGGAAAUCUGAAAGCACAGUGUAAAGCUCUAGAUCUAGGCCCUUAUAUGAGGUACAUCAUAUGAAGGAAGUAAAACAUCAUCUUGACCUACAUUACUUGCCAUGCCAUUCAUUAUCAUGGCGUUGUAAGACAAGAGCUGGGACAGAUGCAGCCCCAUGCAUGUUGUCAUCUAAAUCACUGGGUUCCGAUGAGUUCCUCCACUACUACAGCUGAAGCUACAAACGGGACUAACUCUAAUUCUACCAAGCAAAGAGAAAACAAGGAGAAGCUCCAUAAAACAGAACAAGCUUCAGAUCUCAUUUGUCAGGUGCCAACAACACACUGUGGAUAAAUUCCUGAGGAACUCGUGUGGACUGAGCCAGAGUUUCCAAGCUAAGAGAUUUGUUAUGGAGUAUUCUUAGCAUGCAGCAGAAGACCUCCUUCUCUCUUUCACCAGCUCUGCUAGAGCUGAAUGAAGCAAUACCAAGGAAGGAAUUUGCCUCAGGUUAUUUUAUGCAGCCUUUUUGAAGGCUAAGGGCAAAAAUACAAGCAGACCUAUGAAGAAUUUACAAUAAGCUGACUGACACAGUUAAGAAAACUUGGAAUUGUCCAUCUAACGAGCAGUACACGCAACUGCUAAAAGCUGGACCAUCAAUCCACAUUGGUCAUGUAACUCAGCAGGUAAGUGAACAACACCAGUGCCUCUGUUGGGAUCCUUUCUCUUCUUAGCCCAUUAAGUCUGGUGUGCUCAGACUGAAAUCUACUUUUCUCCAUGCUUUUUAUACACUGAAAGUUGCUUUAUUAACAUUAAAAGACUCCUUCCAUCACUGGAAGCCACUAAGUCCAUUUUCAUGUGAUUUCCCUGGAGCUGGGCAGCCCCAAAAGUAGCAGGGACUCCUUGGGCAGGGGCUGUCAACCAGUGUGGUUCCCAUGUCCUGCUCCAGCAAUUCACACCAAUCUAAAAGUCCGCCUCGUCUACCUACUUUCCCUACCACCUUGGUGUUGAAACACAAUGCACAAAGAAAUAAUUCACAUUUACAGAAGUACGAUACAUAAAAAUUAAUUAAAACAUUAAAUCUUUCUAAAGAAACGCGAUGUACACAGUUAAACUCAGCAUUUA
Molecule: long non-coding RNA, 1665 nt
Organism: Numida meleagris (helmeted guineafowl)
Lineage: Eukaryota; Metazoa; Chordata; Aves; Galliformes; Numididae
Source: Ensembl